GACGGGUAGCUGGUCUGAGAGGAUGAUCAGCCACACUGGAACUGAGACACGGUCCAGACUCCUACGGGAGGCAGCAGUGGGAAUAUUGCGCAAUGGGCGAAAGCCUGACGCAGCCACGCCGCGUGAGCGAUGAAGGCCUUCGGGUCGUAAAGCUCUGUGGGGAGAGACGAAGAAAGCCCGUGAAGAGCGGGCCUUGACGGUAUCUCCUUAGCAAGCACCGGCUAACUCCGUGCCAGCAGCCGCGGUAAUACGGAGGGUGCAAACGUUGCUCGGAAUCAUUGGGCGUAAAGCGCACGUAGGCGGCGAAGCAAGUUGGGUGUGAAAGCCCUGGGCUCAACCCAGGAAGUGCAUUCAAAACUGCUUCGCUUGAAUCUCGGAGGGGGUCAGAGAAUUCCCGGUGUAGAGGUGAAAUUCGUAGAUAUCGGGAGGAAUACCAGUGGCGA
This 443-nucleotide ribosomal RNA is filed under the name uncultured bacterium. RNAcentral's name for it is "bacterial SSU rRNA". It matches the Rfam family "Bacterial small subunit ribosomal RNA", at positions 278 to 718 of the family's 1533-position model. The record is from RNAcentral.